GAGUGGAAGACCUAGCAAAAUAAUGAAUCAAUAUAUCUUUAAAAUAACAAUUAUAGAUACAUCUAAUAUUAGAUUUGCAAAAAACAUUACACUUAAACCAUAUCAGUGUUGUCAAUAUCUAUCUCAUAUGACAAUUAAUUUUAAUAAAUCAUCUGCAAUUUUGAAUAAUAUAUUUGAAAAAUCAGUGCUAAUACCUGUAUCACCAUCUACUUUAUUGAAUUUGAAGAUCUUUGGACAAAACUAUCUAUAUAAUGUUGAUAAUGUUACCCUAGAAAAUGAUAAAGAAGGAUUAAAUGAAACAAAUUACUCUAAUAAACAAUAUCAAAAAAUAACAGAUAGUUUGCUGAAAAUUGAUGAUGUAAACAUUCUAAAAUCUAUCAGGAUUCCUCACAAUGAUCUAUUAGAUGCCAUCUCUAGUACAGAUGAUCUGCCAAUGGGGAAAAUAGGCGAUUCGACCCAAUUUAUUCUGCAUUACCCACAAGAAGAUUCCAGAAUAUUCGAAAAAUUUCGACAACUGAUGAAUGUGCUUAUCCCCCAAAUUCCUUCCUUUCAUCAAGAGGAAAAUAUACCAAUAUGCCAAAACGAUUAUGCAUGCAUGGAAGCAAACGGUUACUUAAAACCGAUAAGGGAAGCCAUUACCCCAUUGUUAAACGCCUCCACUAGAUCGUCCUUUCCUCAAAAUUACGAUUUUCCACGAUGCGUUUUAUUGUAUGGACCAAGCGGGGUCGGAAAAACAUCCUUAGUUAAUUGCCUGGCGCACGAUUUGAAAUCUAAACUUAAUUAUCAUUAUAUAGACUUCGAAAAAAUGGAUUCCUAUUUGAUUCCCGAUGAUGAUGACGGAUCAGUCAAUUACCGAUCCAAGCUUAAAACCUUUUUAAACAAAGUAAUCGACUGUUCGCAUACUCGAAGGCCUAGCUUAGUUUUCAUAGAUCAUAUAGACUCAAUGCUCACGGCACAAGCUAAUUCUCAUUCGCUAGAUGACAAAAAAGCUAUGAUGCCAUUAUUGAUCUCGUUCUUGGACGAUGUACAUAAGUACAAUUGCAUGGUAAUAGCGGCUACUAAUCAAAUGGAAUCUUUAGAUCUCACUCUUAGAAGGCCCGGUCGAUUCGAAUAUGAAAUAGAAAUUAGCGCUCCCAACAAUAAAGAACGUUUUGAGAUUCUAAAAUCUCUCUUAAAAGGGGAUUCAUCAUGGAAGGAUAUAAUAUGCGAUUCCGAAAUAACGAACAUAGCUAAUAUAACCCACGGUUUCACUGGCGCUGAUCUAAAAUGCUUGGUAAACCGUGCCUGUUUGGAAAAAAUGAAUCAAUGUAAUGAAUAUGACGGGGAUAAAAAAGAAAGCAUCUACAUAACACACCGCGAUAUUAUACGCACUUUAAAAUACGUUAAACCUAGCGCGAUGAAAGAAAUCAAUUUAGAUAUACCCGAAGUACAAUGGUCGGACAUAGGCGGGAUGGAAAGGGUUAAACAAGAAUUGAUAAAAGCCAUUGAAUGGCCACUCAAAUAUCCCGAAGCUAUGCAAAGAAUGGGCCUUAACCCCAGCACCGGUAUAUUGCUCCAUGGGCCACCUGGCUGUUCCAAGACUAUGAUAGCUAAAGCCCUCGCUACUCAAAGCGGCCUCAACUUCUUUUCCGUCAAGGGGCCAGAGCUGUUUAGCAAAUACGUAGGAGAUUCCGAAAAAAUGCUAAGAAAAAUUUUUAGCAAGGCCAAGACAGUAUCUCCUUCUAUCAUAUUUUUCGAUGAAAUAGAUGCCAUAGCCGUUGAAAGAUCAAAUGACAAAAAUUCCCAUGUCGGUGAUAGAGUCUUAACGCAACUUUUGACCGAAAUGGAUGGAAUUGAGAAGAUGGAAAAUGUUUUCGUCUUAGCCGCUACCAAUAGAAUCGAUAAAAUCGAUAAACUAUAUUUCAUCACGAAGAGACAUUAUGUCUAGGUCCCAAGAAGAAAGCGAUAUGCAUUGUUAGUUCUUUCCGGUGCCACCGACCUUGUCUAUUGGCAUAAAAAGUCCUUCGCCAUCAUUGCUAAAUAAGGAAAACGAUUAGCAUACCCUAUCCGCCAAUCUAAUAUAUCUCGGGAUCUAGUGGUUCAUCCAGAAUAUCGUUUUAAAAGCUUCUUAUCUAUGAUGCUAAACGAAUUAUUGGUCUUUUCAUGCAAUAAUGGCUGCCGUUUCCCAUCGAAUCAUAAAUCGCUUCCUGUGACAUAUCCGAAUAUUUUGGGUUGCACAGAUAUGAGAUGUUUCUUCAGAUUCGCUAAACAAAAAAUAUUCCCAUUGUUCUAUAAAAGAAGCACCAUCAAUAAAGCUAAAGAAGGAAUAUAGCAUAUAUUUAAACACGCCUUAUAACUACGCAGUAUCCUUACUUGAUCCUAGGAUAAAAAAUA
This is an RNA transcript of Gordionus sp. m RMFG-2023, 2373 nucleotides long. It is a transcript of the gene named ATPase family gene 2 protein homolog A-like, with no coding region annotated. NCBI's taxonomy places the organism in Eukaryota, Metazoa, Nematomorpha, Gordioida, Chordodea, Parachordodidae. The transcript has 15 exons. The record is from RefSeq and is a predicted model, not a curated record.